GGGUUGUGAGGUUAAGCGACUAAGCGUACACGGUGGAUGCCCUGGCAGUCAGAGGCGAUGAAGGACGUGCUAAUCUGCGAUAAGCGCCGGUAAGGUGAUAUGAACCGUUAUAACCGGCGAUUUCCGAAUGGGGAAACCCAGUGUGAUUCGUCACACUAUCAUUAACUGAAUCCAUAGGUUAAUGAGGCGAACCGGGGGAACUGAAACAUCUAAGUACCCCGAGGAAAAGAAAUCAACCGAGAUUCCCCCAGUAGCGGCGAGCGAACGGGGAGGAGCCCAGAGCCUGAAUCAGCAUGUGUGUUAGUGGAAGCGUCUGGAAAGGCGCGCGAUACAGGGUGACAGCCCCGUACACAAAAGCGCAUGUGCUGUGAGCUCGAUGAGUAGGGCGGGACACGUGGUAUCCUGUCUGAAUAUGGGGGGACCAUCCUCCAAGGCUAAAUACUCCUGACUGACCGAUAGUGAACCAGUACCGUGAGGGAAAGGCGAAAAGAACCCCGGCGAGGGGAGUGAAAAAGAACCUGAAACCGUGUACGUACAAGCAGUGGGAGCACAGGUUUACCUGUGUGACUGCGUACCUUUUGUAUAAUGGGUCAGCGACUUAUAUUCUGUAGCAAGGUUAACCGUAUAGGGGAGCCGUAGGGAAACCGAGUCUUAACCGGGCGUUAAGUUGCAGGGUAUAGACCCGAAACCCGGUGAUCUAGCCAUGGGCAGGUUGAAGGUUGGGUAACACUAACUGGAGGACCGAACCGACUAAUGUUGAAAAAUUAGCGGAUGACCUGUGGCUGGGGGUGAAAGGCCAAUCAAACCGGGAGAUAGCUGGUUCUCCCCGAAAGCUAUUUAGGUAGCGCCUCGUGAACUCAUCUCCGGGGGUAGAGCACUGUUUCGGCUAGGGGGCCAUCCCGGCUUACCAACCCGAUGCAAACUGCGAAUACCGGAGAAUGUUAUCACGGGAGACACACGGCGGGUGCUAACGUCCGUCGUGAAGAGGGAAACAACCCAGACCGCCAGCUAAGGUCCCAAAGUCAUGGUUAAGUGGGAAACGAUGUGGGAAGGCCCAGACAGCCAGGAUGUUGGCUUAGAAGCAGCCAUCAUUUAAAGAAAGCGUAAUAGCUCACUGGUCGAGUCGGCCUGCGCGGAAGAUGUAACGGGGCUAAACCAUGCACCGAAGCUGCGGCAGCGACACUCAGGUGUUGUUGGGUAGGGGAGCGUUCUGUAAGCCUGUGAAGGUGGCCUGUGAGGGUUGCUGGAGGUAUCAGAAGUGCGAAUGCUGACAUAAGUAACGAUAAAGCGGGUGAAAAGCCCGCUCGCCGGAAGACCAAGGGUUCCUGUCCAACGUUAAUCGGGGCAGGGUGAGUCGACCCCUAAGGCGAGGCCGAAAGGCGUAGUCGAUGGGAAACGGGUUAAUAUUCCCGUACUUGGUGUUACUGCGAAGGGGGGACGGAGA
This 1444-nucleotide ribosomal RNA is filed under the name Salmonella enterica. Its description in RNAcentral is "partial 23S ribosomal RNA". It matches the Rfam family "Bacterial large subunit ribosomal RNA", at positions 1 to 1478 of the family's 2925-position model. The record is from RNAcentral. Lineage: Bacteria; Pseudomonadati; Pseudomonadota; Gammaproteobacteria; Enterobacterales; Enterobacteriaceae.